CUCCUCCAAGAAUCAAGAAAGCAAAAAAAGGCAAGAAACACAUGACUAGGAAGGAAAGAGAAGUUGCAAAAAAUGAGGAAAAGCAUUUAUUGAUGCCAAAAAUAAAAUUAGAAGAAAACAUCAAUGAAAUUGAUGAUGCAAUGGUUGAUCAAAUCUCUGCAGUGGAUGAAGACUGUUCACAAGGAAUGAAAAAAUGGCUUAUUGAACACAAACAAAGAAGACCUGGACUGAAGAUUUUGCAACAAAGAAUUGAUGAAUUCAUAAUUGCUCAUGAAGAGGAGCAGGAACAGG
Long non-coding RNA from Dioscorea cayenensis subsp. rotundata (Guinea yam), 291 nucleotides. RefSeq lists it as uncharacterized. The record is from RefSeq and is a predicted model, not a curated record. Lineage: Eukaryota; Viridiplantae; Streptophyta; Magnoliopsida; Dioscoreales; Dioscoreaceae. The transcript is spliced from 3 exons.